RNAcentral lists this ribosomal RNA (442 nucleotides) under uncultured bacterium. Its description in RNAcentral is "partial 16S ribosomal RNA". It matches the Rfam family "Bacterial small subunit ribosomal RNA", at positions 338 to 795 of the family's 1533-position model. The record is from RNAcentral.
CCUACGGGUGGCAGCAGUGGGGAAUAUUGGGCAAUGGGCGCAAGCCUGACCCAGCAACGCCGCGUGAAGGAAGAAGGCUUUCGGGUUGUAACCUUCUUUUAAGAGGGAAGAGCAGCUGCCGGUACCUCUUGAAUCAGCCACGCCUAACUACUUGCCAGCAGCCGCGGUAAUACGUAGGUCGCAAGCGUUGUCCGGAUUUACUGGGUGUAACGGGCGUGCAGCCGGGAAGACAAGUCAGUGGUGAAAUCCCCGGUCUCAACCGCGGGACUGCAUUUGAAACUGUCGUUCUUGAGUACGGGAGAGGUCAUCGGAAUUCCUGGUGUAGCGGUGAAAUGCGUAGAUAUAAGGAAGAACACCAGUGGCGAAGGCAGAUGACUGGACGGCAACUGACGGUGAGGCGCGAAAGCGUGGGGAGCAAACAGGAUUAGAUACCCGUGUAGUC